CCCCCCACCCCACCCCACCCAGACUCUGCCUCUGGAGCCAGGGUCCCUCCCUGCUCCGGCCCCGAAAGAUCCUUCAGGAAACGGAGGAAGUAUGGACACACAGCCCAGGCAUUUGGGGGUACAGGCAAAGGAAUGCUCCAGCACGGAAGCAACCAGCUUGGGGAGCGUCUCCUGUUAGCUGGGCUUGUGGCAAAGACUCUACCCCAAAUCCUGCUGCUUCUGAACAUAUCCACAAAAGGGAAGAGGCCAGUUUCACGAUUAUCUUUUCACCGAGAGGAAGAUGGGGCAUGAGCAGUCAUGUGCCACAGGCUAUGUGAAGGGGACUCCUGUCUAAUUGUUGCGACUCCAGCAAUGCAAGGGUCGCCUGGCCGCCCGCCGGGCGUGGAACUGGACGGCGGGCUGGCUGUUCAGGGUGAGGAGCGCCUCGUCCGGGCCCCGGCACAGUGACUCCACCUUCACUUUGGAAAACAGUAGUCUACGGCGGGGAGACAAAGGGAGAAAACAACACGGCUCAAGCCAGAGUCCCCACCGGAAACCAAACACCGUGGCCUGGCCUAGACCCGGAUGCUAUGGUGCUUAUCCUAGAAAGGGGUGUCCAAAGGCUUGAUCCAGGGGAAGCCGUGGUGCAGACCAAGGAUUCCAGAACUCCCAGCUCAAUAUAUGGCUUUGUAUACUGAAGGCAAAUGCAGGCACACCAAAAAGGACCAUCUGUGAUCAGGUUAAAAGCAUCAGAGUGGUUGGGGCACCUGGGUGGCUCAGUCGGUUGAGCAUCCGACUUCGGCUUACGUCAUGAUCUUGCGGUUCACAAAUUUGAGC
Molecule: long non-coding RNA, 816 nt
Organism: Prionailurus viverrinus (fishing cat)
Lineage: Eukaryota; Metazoa; Chordata; Mammalia; Carnivora; Felidae
Exons: 4
Source: RefSeq, a predicted model, not a curated record